RNAcentral lists this long non-coding RNA (7640 nucleotides) under Brassica napus (rape). RNAcentral describes it as "long non-coding RNA (BNAP_LNC004709)". The record is from RNAcentral. Lineage: Eukaryota; Viridiplantae; Streptophyta; Magnoliopsida; Brassicales; Brassicaceae.
UCAAAUCCUUGUUCCACAAACGUCACCGAGAUAGAAUAGCAGAUAAUGGGUCUUCUGUUCAUACCAGAGCAUAAUCGAUGGUCAUCAAAGCAUUGUACGUUCCCUCAUUGGCCCGCUGUGGCAGGUGAAGAAACUGUAGUCCGGCUGAUUAAAUUGCAGAUGCUCAGGCCAAUUAUUUGCAGCUUGUUGCAAGGAAGAUAGCUUGUGGCACUCUUGCCUCUUGAGCUCUGCUUUGGUUCCACAGAGAUACUUUGAGCUUAUAAGAUGUGAGUCCAAAAGUAGGCACCAGUAGCUUUAGGGAUGGUUAGGUCUCACUACAACCAAGGAACCUGCUUGAACAAAUAGACAACACAAUGUAAGAGAUCUUUCUAGGUUGUGACAAUCAGACAUACAUAUUAUACUGAUAACAUCGAAAGCUUAUGUUACUACUUCCGUUGAGGAGGUGUUGCUGAGAGAGAGUGGAAAGUUAGAAAGUAGUCAUCAACGUGUUAUAAUGUUGGACAAACAGUUAUUGGGUACCUAAAUACCAACAAAUUAAAAGAUCACCGUUUCACACACAUAUAAAUAUAUAUAUAUAUAUAUAUUUCAAAGAUAACAACCUCCAGCCCCAAGAGAAGGUUUGCAGAUUGAAAGAGAAGCGACAUAAAAUACUCCAAGCAUUUAAAAAAAAAUGAUCGAAUUUUUAGGGUGUCAGUAAAAAAUUACCUUAUGCAAAGAUUUGUGAUGUCAAUGGAUAACAGUGCGUGCCGAUCAUUUUUUUGAAUAAACCAAACUACUAUAUCAUCUCUGUUUUGGUAAAUCUCUACUUUCUUAAUUUAAAAGAAAGAAACGUCAAAAGAAGACACAUAUGCGUCACAGGCCAGAACAAAACGUGAGAAUGAACUUAACAAACUUGGCUGUUCGUGAGUGAAGCACCUGCGGUUGGACCAAAUCCAGAAACUAUGUUCAGAACACCAGGAGGAAGACCUGCCUAUCAUAUAUUUCAAGAAACAUACUUAAGGCUUUUAUUUUAGUAGCAAAAAUGGUAAGUAGAACGUGAAAGGAACGAAACAUUGAUUACUUCAAAAAAAAGCUUACUGACAUAAAACCAGUGAGAGGAGUUUGUUCAGCGGUUUUGAGGACAAUGGUGUUACCACAAGUAAGAGCAAGACCAACUUUCCAAGCAAACAUCAGAAGCGGAAAGUUCCAUUGAAUGAUCUGUCCAGCAACGCAUAUCGGUUCAUGCAGUGUCUGGACGUGAUAGUUUCCAUUGGCUGGAAUUGUUAGUCCAUGAAUCUUAUCCGCCCCUCCUACACAUCAAAGAAAAACUUACCAACAAAAGCAAGAAAAUUUGAUAGUAUUCUCAAGAUUUUGAUGUAUAUACCAGCAUCAUUACAAAACAAACCGGCGAUCAUUGCAAUCUCUGCGGUUUUGGCUUGAUCAUAAGUAUUCCCAUUGCCACAUGUGUCUAGAGCUGCGAGCUCUUCGCUGUGUUUCUCAACCAAAUAUGUGAAUCUCAGCAUUAUCUUUGACUUUUCCUGAAAUUCAAACAAAGAUAAGUCCACAUCACAUUAAAUUUCAUAGCUUUCAAGAUCAAAAACAUUAUAUAGUAUUAUACAUAAGCAAUCAUCUAAGGCCAAGCUCCUUCAUCAAUGGACUUCCUUGCAGCUUUCAUUGCCCGGUUGAUAUCUUCAGCAUCGCCUUCAGCUACGUUCGCAAUGACUUCCUUUGUGCGUGUAUCAAGAGCUGGGAAGGUCUUACCUAAACCCAAUUAAAAAAUCAAACAUUAUUGCUCAAGGAACUAAAAUUUCAAGCGUCAAUAUUUUUCCUUGCUAUUCCUCCGUUUCUGAACAAAGCAUUUUUUAAAAUGAAAACUUUACUCACCAGAAGCAGCGCCUACGAAGUUCCCAUUGUUAAGGAAUUGUGUGUAAGAAAAUUGAACCGAUGGGAUUAUGAUUUCUUCAGCUGCAGAGGAGGUUCCAAAUCACCGUACGAUUUCCCUUUUAAUGUAACAAAUUCUCCAUAUAACCGAAGUGUUUUAAUACAUCAUAGCCACAUAUUCACAUAUUAAAGAAUCUAACUUCCGGUCUACUUUACAACAACAACUUUUUCUGCUUUAUUGUUGUACCCUACUAAACACUAAAUGUCAACUAAUCCAAGAAGCAGCAAUGAACACCUUAACGCACUUAAAAUCUAAAAGACCAAAGAACACACAGAUUCCAAAGGAGUCGAACCUGAGCUUGAGAAGUCUCGAUUCACCGUCUUGCGAUAGCUCUGAUAGCACGCCCUGACUUUAUCACUUUCUAUUUCUCAAAGGAGACUGAAAAACGUUGGUGAGACAUACCUAUAUCUCCAUAGUUGCAAUCAAUGGACCUCUGAGCUGCACAAUAAUUAUGUAAGAAAAAAACUUUUGUCCUUAAAGAAACUGAGAUCAAAAAGAGGCAAAUAAGAUGUCCUUACAUCAGACUGCUUGAUUUCACACAGGGUGCUGGGCAUAGAUUGGUUUUUGAUAGAUAAAUUACCGUCGUCCAACAGUGAAUACAUGGCCUCUCAUGAUACAGUGUGGGGUUCUGAAAUUACAUAAAAAAAACACUGGGACAGUUAGACACAGAAGUAUUGUAGUCAAUAAAUAAAAAAGUCUCGGACAUAACAGCAUAGUUCUGUCGGAAAAAUAUAAAAGAACCAAACAUGAAGCCAACUGAACUCGUUGGGCAUGAACUGAAAGACCAAACCUUCAACAAAAAAGUAUUACACGCACUGCACACUGCUAAACCUUAAAGGCGCAACUCGCAGACUAUUAGAUCAAACCAAUAAAAAAACUAUCACUGAUGAAACUUGACCCACCUGAGAAUACUGACAAAGUAGCUUCGCCCAUGGAGCCUUAGCUCGCUUCUUCCCCGCCUUCGAGUUCUCACCAUCCGUCACCACUUCACCUAAAUCCACAAAAACAGUAGAUAUGAUAAUUAAUCAGGGAAAAAUCGUGAGACAGACCACCAAACCAAACCUGCUAUUGUAGGUGUCUCCAAGACAUCGGCUUCAGGUUUUGUGUCGGCUUCAGGAUAGAUCUCCAUCACAGGCACAUCAGUUUAAACAGGUUUCUCCGCAUCCAUCAGGUAAUCAGAGGAUCCAAGCUCCGACUCUCCAGAUUCCGAUCCAGGAUCCGAAACCGGUCCUUGAUUCUCAACCAGAACCUCGCUGCCGAUGAAGACUCUGCUGGUUCCGCCGCCGCCGCCUAAACUAUUAAAAAAUCAAAAAUCAGAUUCGAAACCAAAAAAAAAAAGAAAGAAACUCAGAUUCGGACAAGAACAAACAUACAAAUUCAAUAGCGGCAUCGAUCUUAACCUUAGGUCGCUUGGUAGGGGGUGGAGAUGAUGAAGACGGUUCAGGGGAUAAAGAAGAAGAACAGAAACGCUUGAAAGCCGAAGAGCUACGUCUCGUCUCCACGAUAUCCCAAGAAAUCAUAAACAUAUGUAUUUAUUAUUUAAUAACGAAACCAAACUGAGAUAACCAAACCAGACAUGAAUUAUGGGACCCACAAACAUAAAGGAGUCGCUGACGUGGAUAGCUUUAGGAGAGACUAAACUGUGGCAUUAUAAUAUAGAUUGUGUCUCCCAGAGAUUGCAAUCAAUUCAAUAGCCCCAACUCUGAAUCUCGAUGGUUUACAUAGUUUCAUGGGACGAAUUCGUAGAUCGAUCUGUUCAGCUUUUCAAAGCUGAUCCCGAAUCUGUAAGUUAUCUUUAUCUUUCCCGAUUGCGUUCGUCACAGUUGCUUUGGAGAUUUUGAGCUUCAUUUUAACUGUUUGGGUUAUGAUCCGUCUCGAGUUUUUCGUAUUGAGGAUUCGAUAAACAUUGAUAAUUGAUUUGAAAUAGGCAAUCUACAUGUUUUGUUUCCAGAAUGCAGUAAUUUUGUUUUCUAAUGAAUUAGAUGUUUGGGGUGCAGACUCGGUACGUUGUCAAGUAUAGACAUUGUGAUGGCAAGUUGGUUCUCAAGGUUACUGAUAACAAAGAGGUCGGUACACCCUGUCUACGAUCGCUUCUUGUAAUUGUUUGUGCUUCUCGUAUUGUACGUGUACUAUAAUAGAUACUUGUUGGUUUGGAGAAUGUAGCAGUUUUCUUAUGUAUUGGCCGGGUCAUGAGUUAAAUAAGCAGAUCUACUGGUAGCAGUUUACCUUGGUGAAGCUUGUUUGUGUUUGUUACUCAAAGGUCUAUGCAUUGAGCUACGCCAAAGUUUGAGACAGAGAAUUGCCUCUAUCUCUGUUGUUAAUUAGCUCCUCCCUGUUGUUGCCCUCUUGUUUCAUUAUGUGCAUUUUUUUUUUAAUUUUUUUUUCUUUGAUCUUAGUGUCUCAAGUUCAAGACGGACCAAGCACAAGAAGCAAGGAAGAUGGAGAAACUGAAUAACAUAUUCUUCACCUUCAUGGCCAGAGGACCUGAUGGUAACAUCUUCUUUUCUUUAAUCUUCAUUAAAGAGAUUAUGGAAGUUUCACAGUCGAAGAUGUUCGUAUUAUGGUUCUAUGAAGUUCUACUCUGACUUUAUUGCUUACUUUAUUUAUGCAGUUGAUCUUUCUGAAGUGAACGGGAAAGAACAGAUGGAGACACAACCUGUGAAGAAAGGAAGAGGACGGAAGCAAUAAGUCCCAUGAUUCUGUUUUUCUUUCUUUCUUUUUGGUAUCAAGAUUUUGAUCCAUUUUUGGGGAUAUUCUGAGUUGGGGAUUGUGAUGAUAGGAUUAUUAAAUAUUGGUUCUUAUUUAACCUGACUUUGGAUCUAAAAAUACAUCUUUCAUCGAAAAUGCUAAUUAUGUAACCAUCUUAUCAUCCAAUCUUUCUGUCUGUCCUCUCAGUAAUAUGGCAGUCGGUGUGGCUUCAAUUCAUUUUCUCCCAAGCCCUCCUUUACUCUCAAGUAACAUACAAACUAAUAUUUAUCGGUUUUUAAUCAUAUAUAGUGAUAAGAUUUUGUUUUCGUGAGACUUGUCCCGAAUUGGAAUCAGAAUUGAUAUCAUACUCACUCAUGCAUUUUGACACGAACACCCCGAAAAACCGAAAUAUGACGUUGCUGAAAAUGUAACUUAUCUCAUGCCUGUAUAUAUAUAUAUAUAUAUACGUAUAUAGUGCAACUAUUACCUAAACAUUAAAAGCAUGGAGUUGAUAAAUAGUUUGUGCACGGCCAAGAGAGAGGAAAUCGAUCGGCCAUUAGCUGAUUUCCCGGUGAAUAUAUGGGAAGAUCCCUUGACAUCUUUUGUAGUUUCCGAUACGGUAUGUAUCUUUCCUUGUCAUCACUACAUUCAAUGAAUUAUGAAUACAAAUCAAUGUUAUUGUUUGAAACCGAGUUUGGUCAGAAACAAGUGAGAGAGACGAAACUCGUCGGUGGACUCAUUGGUGGACUAGUAACAAAGGCGUUUUAUUAGACCGAGAAGAAGUUUGUCGGUUACAAGUAAGGAAACAGACGGUGAAACAAGCCGGUGAAACAGAGUUCACCGGAAAAGUACAAGUCGUCAAGAAUUAAAUAAGCAAAACCCUAAUUCUAGCCGUCAAGUGUGUGGGUUGAUUUCGGAUCCCCUUUCUUGAUGUCGCCUCGUUUCCUUUUAUAGCCGGUCUCCAUGAGUUAAUCACUUUUAAUCGCCUGCUUGAGUCGGCUAAAAGUAGUUACGAGCCGAAUGUCUCGUCUGUCUUGGACAACUUUUAGUCGCCGUAUGUUGGUUUGUUGUUUCUCGGUUUUGGUUAACCAGGUUAUCUUUUUCUAUAAACCAAUCGUUUUGUCCCGGUUGAAUUCGGUAUGGAUUGAUAUAACCGGUUAGGUGCAAACCGGGUUUCAGUUUGCACUGAGAAGCGGAACUGUCACCAUGACAUAUAUUAAGUCUAUUUUUGUUAUGUUUCAAAACCCCGAUACAUAAUUCGUCAGAAAUUUGUCGAAAAUUUAUGAUGAAUUUAUGACAAAUAUAUUUCUGACGAAUUUCCGACGAACAUGGUAUAUUCCGACGAACUUUCGAAGAAAAUGGUAUAUUUCGACGAAUUUCUGACGAAAAUGGUAUAUUCGUCGGAAAUUCGUCUGUAAUUGAAAUUUGACAACAAAAAAACCCGCCUAAUUUUUUGCGAAGCACCAAAAUAAAAAAUUCCGAUGAAUUUCUGACGAACAUAAUCCGUUAGAAAAUUUUAAUAUAAAAACGUAAGCCCCUUCUGCUUCCUUAUUUCUCCUCUCUCUCUCUAAACACACACAAAUUCUCUCCGAUUCUCUCUCUCUAGUCCCGCGAUUUUAAGCCUUAAACUCCUCAAAUCCACCUCACAAAUUAUGUAAGUCAUCUCUUCCCUUUUCGCAUUUGACUAAUGUUACUUUUUGAUUGUGAAAUUGUGAAUUUUAGGUUUUGAAUGUUGGAUCUAUGUUCGGAUGAAGAAUUUUAUGAAUUAGAUGUUUGAUUUUGUUGUGGUUUAGAUAGGUUUUGAUUGUGAUUUUGUGGUUUUUUUUAUUUAAUUUGUUGUUUUGUGAAGUUUAGAGAGUUUUUAUUAUUUUAUAAAAGAUUUUUCAAACUUUAAAACCUUUUUGAAGUUUUUUAUAAUUUUUGAAUGUUUAAAAAAUAUAUAUACUUUUUUUUUCAAGUUUUUAUUAUUUUUGUUGUUGUUUAAAACGUUUUUAUGUUCUAUUAAACUUUAUAAGCUUUUUAUAAAACAUUUUAAGAUUUCAUAAAAAGUUUUUAAUUUUGUUAUAAUUUAUAAAUUGGUUUUUGGUUUCUAAAGUUUAUCAAAACGUUUUUCACGUUUUUAAAAGCCUUUUCAAUCUAUAAAAGGUUUUUUUUUUCGUUUUUAGAUUUAAUUAAAACGUUUUUCAAUUUUUAGAAAACGGUUUCAUUUACAAAAACUGUUUUUUUUUUUAAUUUUANNNNNNNNNNNNNNNNNNNNNNNNNNNNNNNNNNNNNNNNNNNNNNNNNNNNNNNNNNNNNNNNNNNNNNNNNNNNNNNNNNNNNNNNNNNNNNNNNNNNAAUAAUGUACCUUGAUACCAAAAGCAAGGAAGUACAGAGAGCAGUGAGGCUGCUCCUAAGUUAUUUGAAGCAACAUGCAAAGACACGUUGAAGAUAUAUCAUGUCUUUCCACACUGUCUAUAAUGCUGUCAACGCCUUGGUCAUGCCCUUGUCUUGAUGUAUGUAUCCAAGCCUCGUAGCUUAUGAGUGUAUGUUGUUGUCUAAUUUACUUGGGAACCUUAAAGUGCAUAUUCAAGUAACAGUACCACAAAAAAAAAAAAAAAAGUAACAGUACCACCUUUUUACUCUAUUCACUCAAAAUUAGUCAGUUAAAAAAAUAUCAUUACUUAAACCUGUUACAAAUUGAUAUAUAACCUAAGCUGUGUUUCACUUCAGCAAUCUAAUUGUACUACAAAAAGUUUUGCAUCUCUACAUUACAACACCAAACAAACUUCACAAUGUGCUCCUCAAAUCCUUGUUCCACAAACGUCACCGAGAUAGAAUAGCAGAUAAUGGGUCUUCUGUUCAUACCAGAGCAUAAUCGAUGGUCAUCAAAGCAUUGUACGUUCCCUCAUUGGCCCGCUGUGGCAGGUGAAGAAACUGUAGUCCGGCUGAUUAAAUUGCAGAUGCUCAGGCCAAUUAUUUGCAGCUUGUUGCAAGGAAGAUAGCUUGUGGCACUCUUGCCUCUUGAGCUCUGCUUUGGUUCCACAGAGAU